UGCAGUCGAGCGGCAGCGGGAAAGUAGCUUGCUACUUUUGCCGGCGAGCGGCGGACGGGUGAGUAAUGCCUGGGAAAUUGCCCAGUCGAGGGGGAUAACAGUUGGAAACGACUGCUAAUACCGCAUACGCCCUACGGGGGAAAGCAGGGGACCUUCGGGCCUUGCGCGAUUGGAUAUGCCCAGGUGGGAUUAGCUUGUUGGUGAGGUAAUGGCUCACCAAGGCGACGAUCCCUAGCUGGUCUGAGAGGAUGAUCAGCCACACUGGAACUGACACACGGUCCAGACUCCUACGGGAGGCAGCAGUGGGGAAUAUUGCACAAUGGGGGAAACCCUGAUGCAGCCAUGCCGCGUGUGUGAAGAAGGCCUUCGGGUUGUAAAGCACUUUCAGCGAGGAGGAAAGGUUGAUGCCUAAUACGUAUCAGCUGUGACGUUACUCGCAGAAGAAGCACCGGCUAACUCCGUGCCAGCAGCCGCGGUAAUACGGAGGGUGCAAGCGUUAAUCGGAAUUACUGGGCGUAAAGCGCACGCAGGCGGUUGGAUAAGUUAGAUGUGAAAGCCCCGGGCUCAACCUGGGAAUUGCAUUUAAAACUGUCCAGCUAGAGUCUUGUAGAGGGGGGUAGAAUUCCAGGUGUAAC
This 635-nucleotide ribosomal RNA is filed under the name uncultured bacterium. RNAcentral describes it as "bacterial SSU rRNA". It matches the Rfam family "Bacterial small subunit ribosomal RNA", at positions 56 to 679 of the family's 1533-position model. The record is from RNAcentral.